GAUCAAACCUGCACCACAGCUGUAAUCAGAGCCACAGCAGUGAGAGCACUGGAUCCUUAAACCACUGAGCCGUGGAGGAACUCCCAGAUAUUUUAUACUCUGUUGUUUUUGUGGGGAAAAACGGGAGUUCCCGUUGUGGCGCAGUGGUUAACGAAUCCGACUAGGAACCAUGAGGUUGCGGGUUCGGUCCCUGCCCUUGCUCAGUGGGUUAACGAUCCGGCGUUGCCGUGAGCUGUGGUGUAGGCUGCAGACGCGGCUCGGAUCCUGCGUUGCUGUGGCUCUGGCGUAGGCCGGUGGGUACAGCUCCUAUUCGACCCCUAGCCUGGGAACCUCCAUAUGCCGCGGGAGCGGCCCAAAGAAAUAGCAAAGAGACAAAAAACAAACAAACAAACAAACAAAACAACAACAACAACAAAAAAAAACCGGAAAGGCCUUGAGAUGUGCUAAAAAGCUGACUGGUGUCUUGGCUGAAAAAUUUGCGGUGUCUGGCGCCCUUUCUUGAGUUUCCCAGUUCCAUGGGGUCUCUGAAUCUGUGACCUCUUUACACCUCUGCAAACGGCAGAUAACAAAACAGUGCAGACCGUUGUCCAUAGACAUGCAAGGGAAGGUUGUCUGGUGGAUGUGCUAUUUCCUUCUCCCACUGCGCAAGAACCAGUUUUCUGUAUAUGAAGGAAAUUCAUUUUAGCCUCCCUAAUGGCCUACCUGUGUGUCUGCCCUGGGGCUUUUUCUUUACUUUUUUUUUUUUUUUUUUUUGUCUUUCUAGGGCCAGACCCAUGGCAUGUGGAGGUUCCCAGGCGAGGGGUCGAAUUGGAGCUGUAGCCGCCAGCUUACUCCGGAGCUACAGCAACGCCAGAUCCGAGCCGCAUCUGCCACUUACACCACAGCUCACGGCCACGCCGGAUCCUUAAACCACUGGGCGAGGCCAGGGAUGGAACCUGUGUCUUCAUGGAUGCUAGUCCGAUUUGUUGCCACUAAGCCAUGACAGGAACUCCGGCUUUUUCCUUUUGAACUGGUCGUACAAUCACGGAAUUCUUUGAUGAGUGAAACAGAACAUUUGACUUGUGUCCAUUUUACCCUUGGAUGAGAGUGGAGCCCUUACCUUUCACAACGUGGUAACGAGGUUCUCCACGCAACGUGAAUUUGUGGGAGAUUUUUCGUGUCCUCUUUUCAGUAUUUUCUUCCCUAAUAGAUAGAUACUGCUCUCUUUUGGUGUCUAUAAUCAGAUUAAAAUGCUGACUCUUAGGAACGGAGUGGGAGGUUGGGGUCAGGCGGUGUAAGCUGUUGUGCACGGAGCAGGUAAACGAUACAUUCCGACUCUACCGCACAGGGAACUGUGUUCAAUGUCCUAUGAUAAAUAUAAUGCGAAAGAAUAUUUUAAAAGAGCGUGCGUGCGUGUGUGUGUGUGUGUACAUAACUGAAUCACUUUGCUGUACAGCAGAAAUUAACACAACAUUGUAAAUCAACUAUACUUCAAAUUUUAAAAAAUGCUUAUUCAUAUGUGCUUCUCCCCCCCGUCCCCCAUCAAUUUGGAAAAGAUAAAAUAGGAGUUCCCGUCUUGGUGCAGCAGAAAUGAAUCCGACUGGGAACUGUGAGAUUGCAGGUUCGAUCCCUGGCCUCGUUCAGUGGGUGAAGGAUCCGGCGUAGCAGUGAGCUGUGGUGUCAUGAGCUGUGGUGUAGUUCGCAGACGCGGCUCGGAUCCUGCGUUGCUGUGGCUGUGGCAUUGGCUGGCGUCUGUAGCUCCGAUUAGACCCCUAGCCUGGGAACCUCCAUAUGCUGUGGGUGCAGCCCUAAAAAAAACCAGGAAAGGUAAAAUAAGUGCUUGCUGGGAAAACUCAUUCAUGUCCCCAUCUUGGAUGUUGAUAGUGAUGAAAGCUGGCGUGUGCCGCACAAGUUCUCUGUGCCUGGCCCCAUGAUUCACAUGCAUCAUCUCCAGCAUCCUCCCAACACCCCAUUUUGCAGACAGAGAAGCUGAGGCUCAGAGAGAUGGAGUGAAGAGAUGGAGUGACAGGCUUAAAGUUUCCCAGCUCUCAGGUCAUGGGGUCUGGGCUUGAACCCGAGCCUGACCCAAGUUCUCGCAUCACCUUAAAUUUUCUCCCUUCUUACAUUAGUGUCUUUGGAGAAUGUGUGGCAAAUCUAUCCAAUAAAAAUAUUCCCCGGGCCCUUCCUCUGUGUCUGGCCUGUAUUGGGGACACAGAGGUGACCAAUGACAGUCCCAGCCCUGCCCUCCCAGGGUUCACAAUCCAGUGGGGGAGAUAGACCAAUUUCUAGGCAGGGAUGGCCCAGAGUGGGCAGAGGUGGGACGACGGAGCUUCAAGGGGGUGCUCGCCCCAGACUGGGCAGUCAGGGAGGGCUUCCUGGAGGAGGUUGAGACCUGAAGGACCAGGAUUUGUGAUCCAGGUCAAGAGUGACCAAGGUUGGAAUUCCCAUUGUGACACAAUGGGAUCAGCAGCCUCUUGGGAGUGCUGGAACACAGGUUCGAUCCCGGCCCUGUACAGUGGGUUAAAGGAUCUGGCAUUGCCACAGCUGUGGCUCAGCUCCCAACUAAGCUCGGAUCUGAUCCCUGGUCUGGAACUCCAAAUGCCUCAGGAUGGCCAAAAAAUAAAAAGAGUGACCAAGGCUUUGCAGAGAGAAGCCCACGGCACUAAGAGUGUCCAGAAAGACUCAAAGAGUGUCCAGAAAGACUCAAAGUGAGUGGAGGAAUCCAGACUGAGCAAGAAAGAUAAAUUCCAGCCCCUCCCCUAAGCUGCUCUUGGAUAAUCAUAUACCUCAGGACUGGCCAUGAGGUUUGGUCUCUGGCUGGCGGCUGAUGGAACAGAGGGAAGUCUCUGCUGAGGGCACCUGGCAGACUCUGCCAGGACCAGCCCUGCUCAAGGCUCAGUUCCAGAGCUGGGCUCAUCAGGCUGGCCUGGUGACCCUUGCUUGGGGUCCAAGUCCCCCAUCAGGGAACAGCAAGGCAGACAGAUAUAGGUUCGAAUUUUGGCUUUCUUGCAAACUGGAUGUGGUUUUUUUUUGGGUUUUAGGGCCGCACUUGAGGGUUAUGGAAGUUCCCAGGCUGGGGGUCGAAUCGGAGCUGUUGCUGCUGACCUACACCACAGCUCACAGCAACACCAGAUCCUUAACCCACUGAGUGAGGCCAGGAAUCAAACCUGCAUCCUCAUGGAUACUAGUCAGGUUUGUUACUGCUGGGCCACAACGGGAACUCCCCAUUGUCUCCCAUGUUCCUCUGGAGAAAAAGCCAAGUGCUGCUAAGACCCCAUUCCCUCUCUGAUCACAUCUCCCACCCUCUCCCCCUCCCUCACUCUGCACCAGCUGCACGGGCCGCCUUGCUGCUCUUCAAACAUCUCACGAUCUCCAGCCCCUGGGCCUUUGCACUGACUGUUUUCCUUGUCCGGAAAGCCUUUAGUCUGUCUGCAAGGCUCAUGGAUUUUGUCUGUUUUGUUCACUGCUGUAUAAACAGUGCUAGAACCUUGCUCAAUAAUCAUAAUAACAGACAUUUUACAUUAUAUGAAUAUGAUAAUGAUUAUAGUAAAGAUAAUAAUUACAAGACCCCCCCCGAGGCAUAUUCAAGGGCUCAGCUCCAUCCAUGCGUUCACCUUCAAGAGAUGAAUUGUUGGAGUUCCCUUGUGGUGCAGUGGGUUAAGGAUCUGGUGUUAUCACUCCAGCAUCUUGAGUCACUGCUGUGGCUUGGGUUUGUUCCCUGGCUGGGGAACUUCCACAUACUGCAGCAACCCCCCCCCCAAAAAAAAGAGAGAGAAAUGAACUUUGGGGACAAAGAAUAGUGACUUUAUUUGGAAACAAAAGGCAGCAAACCCAGAAGGUGGACUAGCGUAGAACCAUCAUGCCCAGGGCGGGUGCUGGUUUCUUUUAUUACAGAGUAAAGAGGGGGAGAUGAGGAGGUAAAGGAAAAAAGCUUAAGCUGCUGCAAUUUAUUUCCAGGUUCCAGGCAGACCCCAGAGGGGCUGUGUUGAUUGCUUCCUGCCUGCAGUCCUUCACAGGUGGGCCUGGUUGGGAUGUUUCCUGUGAGCUAAACAAAGGUACUUAACGUCAUGCUCAGGAAUGGGAGGCAGGGCUCCUGGAGAUGGGCCGCUAGGUAUACUUUAAACUGCAGGUGACAUCCCUUUAGUGAUUAACUUGUAGCAAAAGCCAUCGAAUACAAAGGUUAAAGUAAAAGAAGGGGUUCCAACAUGGAGUCAGAUUUGCUCUUCGCUAUUACAACCCCCCUUCCCCUGGCCCCUCCGUUCUCUGGGCCCCAGCAUGCAUUGCAGCCAGCCCUGCGGGGCUGUCCUAGAAGGUGGUUCUCACUGGCUCUUUUCUCAACUGAUGGGUUUUUCUAAAGCUGGACCACCGGGGAGAGGGAAUUCAAGAAAUCCCCUGGGAAAGCCUACCAGGCAAAAAAGCAUAUGUUUUGUGGUUAAGGCCUGUUACAAGCAGUGGAGAUGUUUGAAAAUGUAUGUGUGUGAUGAACAUGGAGCUGGGGGGGGUGGGGGGGAGACAGACUUGAGCUGCAAAUACUCCAACCUUGACGUGACCUGAGCUUAGAGAGAGGAGGCAGGGAGAGUGAAGAUGGGCAAGUUUCCCAGGAAUGCCACCCAGAGGACUGAGGGCCACUUGGAGUAAAUGGCCUCAUUGACUGUCACUGGGUGGGGGGAACAUCUCCCUCCAAGGCACGGGAGGGCAGGAGUCUCUGAUG
This 4690-nucleotide long non-coding RNA is filed under the name Sus scrofa (pig). RNAcentral describes it as "lncRNA (ENSSSCG00000057804.1)". The record is from RNAcentral. Lineage: Eukaryota; Metazoa; Chordata; Mammalia; Artiodactyla; Suidae.